This 73-nucleotide transfer RNA is filed under the name Gottschalkia acidurici 9a. RNAcentral describes it as "[Clostridium] acidurici 9a tRNA". It matches the Rfam family "tRNA". From Rfam's summary of the family: Transfer RNA (tRNA) molecules are approximately 80 nucleotides in length. Their secondary structure includes four short double-helical elements and three loops (D, anti-codon, and T loops). The record is from Rfam by way of RNAcentral. Lineage: Bacteria; Bacillati; Bacillota; Tissierellia; Tissierellales; Gottschalkiaceae.
GGGCGUGUAGCUCAGCUGGGAGAGCACCUGCCUUACAAGCAGGGGGUCACAGGUUCGAGCCCUGUCACGCCCA